CCGGACCUGACUGCUAUCGGAUUGGUACUAAGCCAUGCGAGUCAUUGUAGCAAUACAAGGCGGACGGCUCAGUAACACGUAGUCAACCUAACCUAUGGACGUGGAUAACCUCGGGAAACUGAGAAUAAACCACGAUAGAUCAUGAUGCCUGGAAUGGCUUAUGGUUCAAACAAUUUAUUGCCAUAGGAUGGGACUGCGGCCUAUCAGCUUGUUGGUGAGGUAAUGGCCCACCAAGGCUAUAACAGGUACGGGCUCUGAGAGGAGAAGCCCGGAGAUGGGUACUGAGACACGGACCCAGGCCCUAUGGGGCGCAGCAGGCGAGAAACCUUAGCAAUGUGCGAAAGCACGACUAGGUUAAUCCGAGUGGUUCCUGCUAAAGGAACCUUUUGUCAGUCGUAAAACCACAGACGAAUAAGGGGUGGGCAAGUCUGGUGUCAGCCGCCGCGGUAAUACCAGCACCUCGAGUGGUCAGGAGGUUUAUUGGGCCUAAAGCAUCAGUAGCCGGCUACGCAAGUCUCCGGUUAAAUCCAACUGCUCAACAGAUGGGCUGCCGGAGAUACUACAUAGCUAGGGAGCGGGAGAGGCAGACGGUAUUCGGUGGGUAGGGGUAAAAUCCACUGAUCCAUCGAGGACCACCAGUGGCGAAGGCGGUCUGCCAGAACGCGUUCGACGGUGAGGGAUGAAAGCUGGGGGAGCAAACCGGAUUAGAUACCCGGGUAGUCCCAGCUGUAAACGAUGCAAACUCGGUGAUGCGUUGGCUUAUGGCCAACGCAGUGCCGCAGGGAAGCCGUUAAGUUUGCCGCCUGGGAAGUACGGACGCAAGUCUGAAACUUAAAGGAAUUGGCGGGGGAGCACCACAAGGGUGAAGCCUGCGGUUCAAUUGGAUUCA
This 889-nucleotide ribosomal RNA is filed under the name uncultured archaeon. RNAcentral describes it as "bacterial SSU rRNA". It matches the Rfam family "Archaeal small subunit ribosomal RNA", at positions 17 to 914 of the family's 1478-position model. The record is from RNAcentral.